CAACUAAAUGUCCGAAUAAGCUUUACCAACACCAAGGUUUAAAGCUAGCGGCAAAUCAGUACCACAAAUAGAAUCCAAAAUCUUAAAAACAUUCAAUCCUCCAAAGGACAAGCAAAACAAAAAGAAUUAAGAAAAAAAGAGAAAAAGAAGUUGCCAGAGCUAAAUUAAAGACGUUCAAUGAAAAU
Lycium ferocissimum is the source of this 185-nucleotide long non-coding RNA. RefSeq lists it as uncharacterized. The transcript is spliced from 2 exons. The record is from RefSeq and is a predicted model, not a curated record. NCBI's taxonomy places the organism in Eukaryota, Viridiplantae, Streptophyta, Magnoliopsida, Solanales, Solanaceae.